Gopherus flavomarginatus (Mexican gopher tortoise) is the source of this 1998-nucleotide long non-coding RNA. RefSeq lists it as uncharacterized. The record is from RefSeq and is a predicted model, not a curated record. Lineage: Eukaryota; Metazoa; Chordata; Testudines; Testudinidae. The transcript has 2 exons.
CACCCACCGAGCGAGCGAGCUGCGGCUCCGCCGCCCCAUCCGCCCAAGCCCGUCCCCCCGCUGGCCCCGGCGGCGGGGCCGGGCCGGCCGGAGCCCCGCGCUGGCCGCUCACCUGGGCGGAUUUCCUGCAGGGUCCGGACUGCAGGAACCGGGCGAUCAGAUAUCCCGGCCCGAGGCAGCGGCCGAGCAGGGUGUAGCGCUGCCGCCCGGCGCUAGGGGGCGGCCGCCCAGGCAGGUGAAAGUCCAAGCGGAAGGAAGGACGGACGGACUCGGGGGACGUGCUGGGACAGAAGCACGACGCUCUGGUACGAGUAUUCCGGAAACUCGGUGAUUAUGCGGCUUCCGGGUCUGCGUCCUGCGCGCUGUGACUUGGUCCCUCCCCCUGCGGGGGGCGAUGCUGAGUCCCGCCAUUGUAAGCCCUGGCACACAGCGCCCCCUGGCCGCCGGCUGCCCUGUGGCCGGCUGACGUGCUGCCCGGGCGGCCGGCCUCGCGCUGGGCCUCCUCGACCGCGCCCAGCCAGGAGAUCGGGCUGAGCUGGCUCAGCGCAGCCUGACCGAGCUGCCAGUGAAACCCGGUUCGGAAUCCUGGGGCCGGCUGCACCCAGGGGAGGCGGAUGCCUUCAAACAUGGCAGGCCUGUAGGGUCAGAGGUGGUGCCUGCCCAACGGGGGCUCUAAGCAAGAUCACUCCUCCCCCAGGCUGUAAGGCGAGAAGGAACCAUCCUGUUCAUCUGUCUGCAGCAGGCCCAUAACCUGUGCCUGAUCAUCCACCAUUUAUUGUAGUGCUGUCCAGCCAGUGACCUAAUUGUAUUAUUUCCCGGGCCAGACAAUCCAUCAACACAGCACUUAUGUACACGUGUUAAAAAGCCCACAUUAACUAAGAUGAAUGGUAUUUUGGGGAGUAGUACUAAUGGGUGGGAGGGAGCUGAGCUGCGCUGCCUGGAUCCUAAGCAAUUGUUUAGUCUGCUUAUGCCUAAUGUCAUGUCUGCUUAAAUUAAAGGUGCCUUGGUUUUGAUCUGCAUGUCUUUCCCCAUGGUUGAAAUAUAGUGUUUUGAUAGGAAGUGACCUUUACACACACAAAUACACACUUCUAAGUUUUAAGGAAGUUCAUUUAUCCCUUUUUGAGCUAUGUUUUACAUAUCUGUAUGAAUACCUGUUUAUCUCUAAGCAUUUUACAAAGUAUGUAUAAUAUUUUAAGCACCUCUGGUAUAAGAGGCAGGUAUUUCAAGCACUGGGAUACAGAAGAAGUGUGAUUACAGAAGUACAUUACAGUCCUGCUGCCCACACAAGGAAGUAGUUAAGAAAGAGUGAGGCCAAGAACAGACCUUUCUCAGCCCUUAACAUAUAAGACUGAAAUUCAUGAAAUUCAGUUAUUGUUCUACUUUAUUAUAUGAAUGAGAGGUGGAAAAAGUAUUAGGUCAUCUAGUCUAGGCAACCUGAAAAGAGGUAAAGCUUAGCUGCAGUGGUAACAGCAGUCCAAAGUAAUAGGGAUUUUACGGAUGUGAUGCCUGUUUUUGUAUGCAGUGUUGUAGGUGUGUUAGUCCCAAGAUAUGAGAAAGACAAGGUGGGUGAGGUAAUAUCAUUUAUUAGACCAACUUCUGUUGGCAAGAGAUACAAGUUUUUGAGCUUACACGCUUGUCUCUCUCGCCAACAGAAGUUGGUCCAAUAAAAGAUAUUACCUCACCCACCUUGUCAUGCUUAUUUUUGUUGUUUGACUGGUUACCAAAUAGUUGCUACUGAUAAGUAGGGCUUUGAAGACAAUGUCUGAUCAUUUGAUAGCAUGAAUACAGCAGCCAUUUGGAAAUAAGUAUUAACUUUAAAAAAUAAUGUGCAUUGUUCAUGAGUCAAAGUUUUCUUAAACUAAGAUACACAACAAUGUGCAUGUUAGUGUUUUCUAAUGAUAUAUAAAGAACUUAAAUAGACCUAUAAAUAAUACCAGUAUAUGUUUGUAGUGAUUUACUCUCUGCUAUAACUGUUAAAUAAAGGUAUUCAAGCCACAA